Small nuclear RNA from Octodon degus (degu), 159 nucleotides. Its record names the gene U1. It matches the Rfam family "U1 spliceosomal RNA". Rfam says of the family: U1 is a small nuclear RNA (snRNA) component of the spliceosome (involved in pre-mRNA splicing). Lineage: Eukaryota; Metazoa; Chordata; Mammalia; Rodentia; Octodontidae. The record is from Ensembl.
CGUGUUACCUGGCAGGGGAGAUACCGUGAUCCCGACGUGGUCUGCGCAGGCUGAGGCUCAUCCAGUACACUCCAGAUGUGCUGACUCUGCGAUUCCCCCAAUGCGGGAAACUUCUGUAUAAUUUGUGGUUGUGGGGGAGAAUGCGCCCAUGCUCUCCGC